AUUGAACGCUGGCGGCAGGCCUAACACAUGCAAGUCGAGCGGAUGAAGGGAGCUUGCUCCUGGAUUCAGCGGCGGACGGGUGAGUAAUGCCUAGGAAUCUGCCUGGUAGUGGGGGAUAACGUCCGGAAACGGGCGCUAAUACCGCAUACGUCCUGAGGGAGAAAGUGGGGAUCUUCGGACCUCACGCUAUCAGAUGAGCCUAGGUCGGAUUAGCUAGUUGGUGGGGUAAAGGCCUACCAAGGCGACGAUCCGUAACUGGUCUGAGAGGAUGAUCAGUCACACUGGAACUGAGACACGGUCCAGACUCCUACGGGAGGCAGCAGUGGGGAAUAUUGGACAAAGGGCGAAAGCCUGAUCCAGCCAUGCCGCGUGUGUGAAGAAGGUCUUCGGAUUGUAAAGCACUUUAAGUUGGGAGGAAGGGCAGUAAGUUAAUACCUUGCUGUUUUGACGUUACCAACAGAAUAAGCACCGGCUAACUUCGUG
This 483-nucleotide ribosomal RNA is filed under the name uncultured bacterium. Its description in RNAcentral is "partial 16S ribosomal RNA". It matches the Rfam family "Bacterial small subunit ribosomal RNA", at positions 30 to 507 of the family's 1533-position model. The record is from RNAcentral.